AACGCGAAGAACCUUACCCGGGCUUGAACUACGGAUGGUAAGUCCCUAGAAACAGGGGCUGACCCGCAAGGGAGUCCGCAGAGGUGCUGCAUGGUUGUCGUCAGCUCGUGUCGUGAGAUGUUGGGUUAAGUCCCGCAACGAGCGCAACCCCUACUCGAUGUUGCUAAUCCCGCAAGGGAUGCACUCUUCGAGAACUGCCUUCGAUAAGAAGGAGGAAGGUGGGGACGACGUCAAAUCCUCAUGGCCCUUAUGUCCGGGGCUACACACGUGUUACAAUGGCCGGUACAAUGGGAAGCAAUGCCGCAAGGUGGAGCCAAACCCACAAAGCCGGCCCCAGUUCAGAUUGUGGGCUGCAACUCGCCCACAUGAAGGCGGAAUCGCUAGUAAUCGCUGAUCAGCAGGCAGCGGUGAAUACGUUCCCGGGCCUUGUA
RNAcentral lists this ribosomal RNA (431 nucleotides) under uncultured Elusimicrobium sp. Its description in RNAcentral is "bacterial SSU rRNA". It matches the Rfam family "Bacterial small subunit ribosomal RNA", at positions 958 to 1385 of the family's 1533-position model. Lineage: Bacteria; Pseudomonadati; Elusimicrobiota; Elusimicrobia; Elusimicrobiales; Elusimicrobiaceae. The record is from RNAcentral.